This 3939-nucleotide long non-coding RNA is filed under the name Nicotiana tabacum (common tobacco). RNAcentral's name for it is "long non-coding RNA (NTAB_LNC003177)". The record is from RNAcentral. Lineage: Eukaryota; Viridiplantae; Streptophyta; Magnoliopsida; Solanales; Solanaceae.
AAAAAAAUAAAAUCUUUUUGGAAUAUUCAUUACAACAACUUUUUUUUCAUUUUCAAAUACAAAACAGGAAAUAUGAUAACGAGAGACUCAACUCAACUAUACCACGACAAACUCCAACACCAACUAAAAGAAUCAUUACUACUGGAAAUGACUAUAAAGUACAAGACAGCAUAAAAAGAAACAGACUCAAAACAUAAAAAAUCUCCUCAAGCAACUCCUAGAUGCAACGGUCCUGACCAGAUGGUCCUGGGGUGUCUGUCAUGCUCAAACUCCAGUAAGUAGAUCCACACUUGUAUAAGAAAACUAAAACCAAAUAGAGUUAAGGAUUUAGAACAAUAUGUGAAACAAUAACACUCACUAUUGGACACAUGCAAGACAUGAUCGAGGCUAUUUUUGUAAAAUGACUUAUGUGGCCAAAAAGGUAGCUAGAAGUGCAAACUCAACAAAAGUGAACUCUAAGACAUGGAAAAAUUACUUUGUAGAAAUGACACAUUUUAUAGAAAUGGUAUAUGUGGUCAAAAAUGGCUAAGCAUGCAAAUUCAACACAAUGGACCUUAAACAGAGAGAACAUCUUAUUGUAGACCUAGGACUCUAAGAGAUGGGUUAAUUGAACCACUUUUGCAAAAAUAGCCAUACAAAACGGCCAAUGUGGCCAAAAGCGGAUAGACAUGCAAAUUCGAUAAGGAUGGCCCUUAAAGUAAAGAGACACCUAAUUGUGGAUUCAAGACUCUCCAAACAAUUAAACAAACCACUUUUGCGAAAAUAGCCAUAUUUUGCAAAAUUACCGAUGUGGCCAAAAGUGGCUAGACAUGCAAGAUUUAGCUAAGACCCCGUGAAGCCAAGAACCUAAUACUCACUAGAAAUAUCGAACCCUAUGUGGGUUACCUACAUAUCCCGCCUCGAGAGACGAGAAUCAGGUUCGCGUAAUUCAGGAAGAUUGGAUACGGGCAAGAAUUAAAAAAACAACUAAUUUAGAGAAAAUAUAUUUUUUGUCUUUUGUUUUUUGAAAAAAUGAUGAAACAUGUAAACUCUUUCUGGAUUUUCUUUUUCCUCUUUUCUUGAAUUUUUUUUUUUUGGAAAAUGAUGGGAAAGUGCAAAAUCUUUUUGGAUUUUUCACGUUCGUUUUUUUGUCUUUUUCUUGGAAAAAAAGUGAAAGAAAAAUAUAACUGGGCCUACUUGCUUCAUUUUUAUACUUCACUCUCUUUUCUUUCUCAUUUACCCUCAAUCCUUAUUGGUCCGCCAAAUGACCCCAUUUACCCUUGAAGACUGCAACAUGUAGCACAUAAGAUGCAUCAGGAUGGUCUUUUUAUUUUCGGGUUCGCUUGCCCUAGACGGACCCAACCACUGUGUUGAGUCCCCAAAGUUAAAUGCACAUGAUGCAAACAUGUGUUCCUACUAGGGAUUCGGCAUGAGGCUAAGUUAUUCUAGGUUUAAAACCUGGGUAUAUUGUUGUACACUUGGUGUACCCGAGCGGACAACUCGAGGGGGGGAGGGCUACGUACCGGGAAUCAAAAGACCAUCCGGCUUUGUAACUUGUCCGAACCUCUUUCUAAAUUAAGGUAUGACACUAACAGAAAAGAAGUCACGCCAGCGUGCACUUUCCCGAAGAUGAGAAGAGAAGGGUUUCGCACCAGUUUAUAUACAGUUCAAAUAAUAUCAAAGCGAUAAAAAGCGGCAUUUAGCACAUUAGGCCCAAACACGUAAAAAUCAGAUAAUAAACAAAGCCAAUUAUAACAAUUAUUCUAAUCUCGAAUUCUGAACCCUGAACCAGAAGUUCUGGGUUUAAUUCCCCAGCAGAGUCGUCAGAGCUAUCACACCUCCUGUUUCUACCACUGAAAGCGGUAUAUGGGAGUUUUUUAAUUAAAGAGAUAAUAAUCGAAACGGGAUUGUUUAUUUAAGUUCAGAGUCACCACUUGGGAUAAUUUAUGGUUUCCCAAGUCACCGGUUUAAAUCCCGAAUCGAGGAAGUUUAACUCUGUUUUACAGUUCGUGAAACACAAAAAUUUGGGUAAAGAAUUCUGUUAACCCAGGAGAAGGUGUUAGGAAUUCCCGGGUUCUGUGGUUUUAGCACGGUCGUUCAGUUGUUAUUAUUGGCCUAAUUAUCUAAUUAAUUACAUGUUUUAUACCUAUUGUGCAUUUUUAGCCUUUAACCGCUUUUAAUUAUUUAUGGAAAUAUUUUGAAACAAGUUACGAUUGUCGUACACUUGUUUGUUUGGUACACAUUGUGAAUCGCAUCACGGGAACCGUACCCACGAUCUACAACAUGUUUAAUGAUUAACAUUAUUAGUUGUUAUGGUCGGGUCACAUAAAUGUACCCCCGAAUUUUGGAAACUAUGUAUCAUGACUACGUCACGGGAACUGUACCCGUAGCUAUGACAAUUUUAUUAUAGCACGCCUAAAACAAACUACGAGGGUUCAUGUGUUAUACAAACAAAAUGAGAGCAUGAAGAGUUUUCUAAGCUACAGUAGCAUAAAAUUCUGUCGAACAUUUCAAAUAGGCUUUUAAAUCAAAUCUCGUAACCCAAGACAGAGUAAACUUUACUUAAUUUUACAUCAGCCUUUUGGUUUACCCAAAUCAAUCCGAACCCAAUUCGUAUACCAAGAAACAUAAUACCAUAUCAAUGUUUACCUAAGAUGUAAGGAUUUGUCAUUGACUGAAAGUCCUUAAUAUAGCUCAAACAAAUAGAUAAACAAGUCUAAUGUUGUCAUUUAAGUAUAUUUAAGGCUUUAAGCUAAUAAAAGGAAAUCAAACACAUUCUUUAUACGGAACACCAAAAAGCAUGAAAACGGGUGGUAAUCAAACUAAAACAAAGGAGUGAAAGAAUAACCUCAGGGUAGAGCCAAAAUCCUUACGAAAAUUAGAUUAAUUGCAGUUGUCCAAAUCAAAGCAUACAAAAGACUUAAACAACUUGUCGGAGGCGAAACAAGAAACCAACAAUUGGACUUGGACCGGAAAAUUGAACGGAGACCUCAACCUCGGCUAAACUUGAACCAACGAAACUCAAACAAGUUCCAUAACAAGACGAAAACUUGAUCGGCGAUGAACACUCAAACAAAUUCCGACGCGGGCAGAAUUUAACUCAUUUCCAUUGAAAUCAGAAGAUACAAAAACUUCAAAAUUCAAAUGACCUCUACAAUAAACUGUUGUUGUGUGCGUUUGUCGGUUUCAAUUAUGGUCGCCGAAAAGUCACUUCUCAUCAAAACAGGAGUUACAAGUUCGCUGACUUCCGGCGAGUUUCAUCGCAACAGCAAGAGGAGUGAAAGAGACAACAAGGUGAGGGAGAUAGAAACGGGAACAAGGUGAGGACAAAAGUCGUCGGUGGAGCUGGUUGAAAGUGACGUUGGAUGUUGUUGCUGGUUGAGAGUCACCAGACUCUGGUAGUGGAUGUGGGUUUUGGGUCUGUGAGGAUCAGAUCCGGAUGUUCUCCUAGUCUAGGGUUCUUUUAAGAAGGUGAAGAAGAGAGGGUCAGCUGGAAUUCUUAGGUCUUCUUAUUAUAUAAGAAAGGUCCAGAAAAACGGCUCCUUCCUCUCAUGGCUGCUUCUUUUUCGAAGAAGAUAAUGUCUUCGUUAGGAAAGAUGAAGGGUGCUCGUUUUUGGGGUUGUGAAGGGUGUUGUGCAGUGGAGUUUUGGUUGUUAGGGUUUUUUUUUGUUAGCUUUCAUGAAGAAGAAAAACUCAUGUACGGGGGAGGGGGGUUCGUGUUAAGCGGCUGAAGUUUUUUUUUUAGGAUCCUAGGGUUCUUUUGUUUUUGUAUCUUGUGAAGAUGAAGGAGACCCCAAAAAAUCUGAUGGGGAGGGUCCCUCUAAAAAUUACUGAUGAGGAUUUUAGGUCUAUGGUCCCAUUUAAGUGUCUUCCUAGGGUUUUAGGGGUAUUGGGCUUGGGUUAUUAUGGGCUAGGUCCGAAAAUUAUGCCUAAAAAUGGGUUGUUUGAGCCCGAAUUUUA